GGGCCUUUAGUAUAGCCUGGAUAGAAUGGUGGCUUCCGAAGCCGCAGACAGGGGUUCGAAGAGUUUUCUUUGGCGCGGUGCCUCCGCACCUUUCUUUUCGCAAAAGAAAGGGGCAAGGCGCCGAACGUCCCCUAAGGCCCG
Molecule: transfer RNA, 141 nt
Filed under: Microcaldota archaeon
Lineage: Archaea; Nanobdellati; Microcaldota
Description: tRNA-Arg
Source: RNAcentral